RNAcentral lists this long non-coding RNA (662 nucleotides) under Physcomitrium patens. RNAcentral describes it as "long non-coding RNA (PPAT_LNC002037)". Lineage: Eukaryota; Viridiplantae; Streptophyta; Bryopsida; Funariales; Funariaceae. The record is from RNAcentral.
UAAGAAAGACAAGUCAUGGAUUAAAAAAAUUUAGAUGACAUCAACUUUUAUUUAGUAGGCAAUCUAACUAUCUUUCAAAAAAUCAAAGAUAUACUAGACAUUUUUUCAGGUGCAAUAAGUACUCAAAACAAUUGGAAUAAGUCCAAUGCAAUUCGGAUUACCAACAAUACUAUGCCAAUUAAUUGGUGAAAGGAUUUUAAUCUCAAAUGGCUUGCCUCAAGAGAAACCAUUACAUAUUUAGGCUUCCAAAUAGGCUUUAAGAUACCUAUAGAAAUCCACUUUGACGCUACAGUGGCAAGUCUAUGAAAGAAACUUGCCUACUGGAGGACUGUCAAACUUUCACUAACUAGUCAAAUUUUAGCAGACAAUCAAGUAUUGUUAGCCUCCAUUUGGUAUGUAGCCUCUUAUUGGAUCCUUCACUUGAGAUCCAUCAAUAAGGUAGGCACUUUGACCCUCAAUUAUAUAUGGUCAGGUGAAACGGGAGAACGUGAUUGCCAUGAUAAGGUAGAGUGGAAAUCACUCAUUCUCCCACAUAAAAUAAGUGGGUUAAAGUUGAUUGAUCCCAAGAUUCAGAUUCAUGCUUUGCUGGCAAAGCUCAUGGUCAGAGGCUUGCUACCAGGAGAGGCAUCAUGGCAAACUCUAAUCCAGCAUCACAUCCACUC